RNAcentral lists this ribosomal RNA (259 nucleotides) under uncultured bacterium. Its description in RNAcentral is "partial 16S ribosomal RNA". It matches the Rfam family "Bacterial small subunit ribosomal RNA", at positions 337 to 588 of the family's 1533-position model. The record is from RNAcentral.
CCCUACGGGGGGCAGCAGUAGGGAAUUUUCGGCAAUGGGGGGAACCCUGACCCAGCAACGCCGCGUGAAGGAAGAAGGAAUUCGUAUUGUAAACUUCUGUUCUAUAGGAGGAAAGACGGAUGGAGGAAAUGUCAUUCGAGUGACGGUACUUUAUGAGAAAGCCACGGCUAACUACGUGCCAGCAGCCGCAGUAAUACGUAGGUGGCAAGCGUUAUCCGGAAUUAUUGGGCGUAAAGAGGGAGUAGGCGGCUGCAUAGGU